GACGAACGCUGGCGGCGUGCCUAAUACAUGCAAGUAGAACGCUGAAGAGAGGAGCUUGCUCUUCUUGGAUGAGUUGCGAACGGGUGAGUAACGCGUAGGUAACCUGCCUGGUAGCGGGGGAUAACUAUUGGAAACGAUAGCUAAUACCGCAUAAAAUUGAUUAUUGCAUGAUAAUUAAUUGAAAGAUGCAAUUGCAUCACUACCAGAUGGACCUGCGUUGUAUUAGCUAGUUGGUGAGGUAACGGCUCACCAAGGCGACGAUACAUAGCCGACCUGAGAGGGUGAUCGGCCACACUGGGACUGAGACACGGCCCAGACUCCUACGGGAGGCAGCAGUAGGGAAUCUUCGGCAAUGGGGGGAACCCUGACCGAGCAACGCCGUGUGAGUGAAGAAGGUUUUCGGAUCGUAAAGCUCUGUUGUAAGAGAAGAACGGGUGUGAGAGUGGAAAGUUCACACUGUGACG
This 464-nucleotide ribosomal RNA is filed under the name Streptococcus sanguinis. Its description in RNAcentral is "bacterial SSU rRNA". It matches the Rfam family "Bacterial small subunit ribosomal RNA", at positions 28 to 474 of the family's 1533-position model. The record is from RNAcentral. Lineage: Bacteria; Bacillati; Bacillota; Bacilli; Lactobacillales; Streptococcaceae.